UACGUAGGUGGCAAGCGUUGUCCGGAUUUAUUGGGUUUAAAGGGUGCGUAGGCGGCUUUGUAAGUCAGUGGUGAAAUAUGGCAGCUCAACUGUCAAGGUGCCAUUGAUACUGCAGAGCUUGAGUACAGAUGAGGUAGGCGGAAUUGACGGUGUAGCGGUGAAAUGCUUAGAUAUCGUCAAGAACACCUAUAGCGAAGGCAGCUUACUAGGCUGUAACUGACGCUGAGGCACGAAAGCGUGGGGAGCGAACGGG
RNAcentral lists this ribosomal RNA (253 nucleotides) under uncultured bacterium. Its description in RNAcentral is "partial 16S ribosomal RNA". It matches the Rfam family "Bacterial small subunit ribosomal RNA", at positions 524 to 776 of the family's 1533-position model. The record is from RNAcentral.